RNAcentral lists this ribosomal RNA (293 nucleotides) under uncultured soil bacterium. RNAcentral's name for it is "partial 16S ribosomal RNA". It matches the Rfam family "Bacterial small subunit ribosomal RNA", at positions 26 to 320 of the family's 1533-position model. The record is from RNAcentral.
AGAUUGAACGCUGGCGGCAUGCCUUACACAUGCAAGUCGAACGGCAGCACGGGGGCAACCCUGGUGGCGAGUGGCGAACGGGUGAGUAAUACAUCGGAACGUGUCCAGUUGUGGGGGAUAACCAGUCGAAAGAUUGGCUAAUACCGCAUGAGCCCGAAAGGGGAAAGCGGGGGACCUGCAAGGGCCUCGCGCGAUUGGAGCGGCCGAUGUCCGAUUAGCUAGUGGUGAGGUAACGGCUCACCAAGGCGACGAUCGGUAGCUGGUCUGAGAGGACGACCAGCCACACUGGGACU